CCUACGGGGGGCAGCAGUGGGGAAUAUUGGACAAUGGGGGGAACCCUGAUCCAGCCAUGCCGCGUGUGUGAUGAAGGCCCUCGGGUUGUAAAGCACUUUCAGUGAGGAAGAACGCCUGGUGGUUAAUACCCAUCAGGAAAGACAUCACUCACAGAAGAAGCACCGGCUAACUCCGUGCCAGCAGCCGCGGUAAUACGGAGGGUGCGAGCGUUAAUCGGAAUUACUGGGCGUAAAGCGCGCGUAGGUGGCUUGAUAAGCCGGUUGUGAAAGCCCCGGGCUCAACCUGGGAACGGCAUCCGGAACUGUCAAGCUAGAGUGCAGGAGAGGAAGGUAGAAUUCCCGGUGUAGCGGUGAAAUGCGUAGAGAUCGGGAGGAAUACCAGUGGCGAAGGCGGCCUUCUGGACUGACACUGACACUGAGGUGCGAAAGCGUGGGUAGCAAACAGGAUUAGAUACCCCAGUAGUC
This 465-nucleotide ribosomal RNA is filed under the name Vreelandella stevensii. Its description in RNAcentral is "partial 16S ribosomal RNA". It matches the Rfam family "Bacterial small subunit ribosomal RNA", at positions 338 to 795 of the family's 1533-position model. Lineage: Bacteria; Pseudomonadati; Pseudomonadota; Gammaproteobacteria; Oceanospirillales; Halomonadaceae. The record is from RNAcentral.